GGAGGGAUGGCCGAGCGGUCGAAGGCGCUGGUCUUGAAAACCAGUGGGCCCCUUGCGGGUCUCGUGGGUUCGAAUCCCACUCCCUCCG
This 88-nucleotide transfer RNA is filed under the name Acidimicrobiia bacterium. Its description in RNAcentral is "tRNA-Ser". It matches the Rfam family "tRNA". From Rfam's summary of the family: Transfer RNA (tRNA) molecules are approximately 80 nucleotides in length. Lineage: Bacteria; Bacillati; Actinomycetota; Acidimicrobiia. The record is from RNAcentral.